GCGGACGGGUGAGUAACACGUGGAUAACCUACCUAUAAGACUGGGAUAACUUCGGGGAACCGGAGCUAAUACCGGAUAAUAUAUUGAACCGCAUGGUUCAAUAGUGAAAGACGGUUUUGCUGUCACUUAUAGAUGGAUCCGCGCCGCAUUAGCUAGUUGGUAAGGUAACGGCUUACCAAGGCAACGAUGCGUAGCCGACCUGAGAGGGUGAUCGGCCACACUGGAACUGAGACACGGUCCAG
Molecule: ribosomal RNA, 242 nt
Filed under: uncultured Staphylococcus sp.
Lineage: Bacteria; Bacillati; Bacillota; Bacilli; Caryophanales; Staphylococcaceae
Description: partial 16S ribosomal RNA
Rfam family: Bacterial small subunit ribosomal RNA
Source: RNAcentral